GGAUAUGAGCCUUGAUCGCAUGAUCGGGGCUGGAAAGUUUUUCGGUUGAAGAUGAUCUCGCGGCCUAUCAGCUUGUUGGUGAGGUAAAUGGCUCACCAAGGCGACGACGGGUAGCCGGCCUGAGAGGGCGACCGGCCACACUGGGACUGAGACACGGCCCAGACUCCUACGGGAGGCAGCAGUGGGGAAUAUUGGGCAAUGGAGGAAACUCUGACCCAGCGACGCCGCGUGAGGGAUGAAGGCCUUCGGGUUGUAAACCUCUUUCAGUAGGGAAGAAGCGAAAGUGACGGUACCUACAGAAGAAGCACCGGCUAACUAUGUG
RNAcentral lists this ribosomal RNA (322 nucleotides) under uncultured bacterium. RNAcentral's name for it is "bacterial SSU rRNA". It matches the Rfam family "Bacterial small subunit ribosomal RNA", at positions 171 to 507 of the family's 1533-position model. The record is from RNAcentral.